Molecule: ribosomal RNA, 253 nt
Filed under: uncultured bacterium
Lineage: Bacteria
Description: partial 16S ribosomal RNA
Rfam family: Bacterial small subunit ribosomal RNA
Source: RNAcentral
UACGAAGGGGGUUAGCGUUGUUCGGAAUCACUGGGCGUAAAGCGCACGCAGGCGGCUUGAUAAGUCGGGGGUGAAAUCCCGGGGCUCAACCUCGGAAUUGCCUUCGAUACUGUCUGUCUUGAGUCCGGGAGAGGUGAGUGGAAUUCCUAGUGUAGAGGUGAAAUUCGUAGAUAUUAGGAAGAACACCAGUGGCGAAGGCGGCUCACUGGCCCGGUACUGACGCUCAUGUGCGAAAGCGUGGGGAGCAAACAGG